AUCAAUUGUGAUUUCAUCAUUGUUAACACACACAAGGAACUGUUGUAGAUCCCUUACUGGACAUGAUCUCUCAAGGGACAAGAGACCAAACAUAAGAAAAAUGAGGAUGCCGUCUGCAUAACAGUUGUUUUCCAGUAAACGUGCUUCAUAAGUAGAAGGCAUAUAUAUAUUGUGCAUUAUAGUGACUGAAGUGACAGCCAUUUGUCAUCCCUGUUAAGUGAUACACAUUUUUUGUGCUAUAGUUGAAAAAAAUUUUUUAUAAAUUUACUGUCAGGGUGCAUGGUGUGUUUGUGCCGGGGCGUGCGUAUGCAGAUGAGAGAAAAACACCGUGAAAACAGUUUUCUCUUUUCACCUGCGUUCCUGGGAUUGCCCACCCGCCCUUUAGGGCAAGCAUUCUCAGCAAGUGAGCGCCCUCAUGAGCUGCGUGCUGUUUUCCUGUGCCUGAUAGCACAUGAGUCACUCACAGAUGCUGUGAUGUGAGAACGGCAGCUGUCUGAGCUCACUUAUCUUGUGGGACUAAUGAAGUAAAUGGGUCUCAGGGUUGAUGGGAACCUUGCUUCAUGAUGAUGACUGUGGAGGAAUGUACAUAUGGCUGUGCAGUAGAGGGCAGUGUACAUUGCUGGUGUCAAAGACGCCAUCAUGGAAGCAACUGGGGCUUAGAUAAGGGCGAGAGGGUCUGGAGAGACAGGCUCUGAGGCUGGACUGUGAGCUCAGCGGUUCCUGGGUUUCUAAGUGGUGAUCACUUGCUGCCCCCUGGCUAUUCUUCUUUGCCUGGUCACCCUCAGUCCCUUUUUGUUCCUUAAACUAGUAUUUAUCAAACUUCCUGUGUACCCAGACUAAUUUUCUAUCAAGACGUGAACUACUCCCAUCCUACCCAGGUAUUUCCCUGGAAAAGUAGAAAAAGCAAAACUUGGCUCAAGCCAGGGUUCCCCAGGCAGCCCCCACUCCCACAGUUUCUCUGCUUGUCUGUCCUUGCCCCAGCUGGAGGCCCGUGGCUGAGUACAUUGACCAGCAGUUUGAACAGUAUUUCCGAGAUGAGAGUGGCCUGAAUCGCAAGAACAUCCAAGACAACAGGGUGCACUGCUGCCUGUACUUCAUCUCACCCUUUGGCCACGGGUAUGGUCUGAGCCUGAGGCUCCUGGCACCACCGGGGUCUACUAAGGGAACAGGCCAAGAGCACCACGGGGCAGGGUACCACUAGCGGGUGGUCACCGAUUCCUGUUCCCCAGGCUCCGGCCAUUGGAUGUUGAAUUCAUGAAGGCCCUGCAUCAGCGGGUCAACAUUGUGCCUAUCUUGGCUAAGGCAGACACACUGACACCCUCUGAAGUGGACCGAAAGAAAUGCAA
Molecule: long non-coding RNA, 1346 nt
Filed under: Rattus norvegicus (Norway rat)
Lineage: Eukaryota; Metazoa; Chordata; Mammalia; Rodentia; Muridae
Description: long non-coding RNA NONRATT005849
Source: RNAcentral